Molecule: unclassified non-coding RNA, 253 nt
Filed under: uncultured Rickettsiales bacterium
Lineage: Bacteria; Pseudomonadati; Pseudomonadota; Alphaproteobacteria; Rickettsiales
Description: contains 16S-23S intergenic spacer region
Rfam family: Bacterial small subunit ribosomal RNA
Source: RNAcentral
UACGAAGGGGGCUAGCGUUGUUCGGAAUCACUGGGCGUAAAGCGCGCGUAGGCGGUUUAGUAAGUUGGGAGUGAAAGCCCAGGGCUUAACCCUGGAAUUGCUUCCAAAACUGCUAGACUAGAGAUAGAUAGAGGAUGGUAGAAUUCCUAGUGUAGAGGUGAAAUUCUUAGAUAUUAGGAGGAAUACCGGUGGCGAAGGCGACCAUCUGGGUCUUUUCUGACGCUGAGGUGCGAAAGCGUGGGUAGCAAACAGG